AUGGUGAUGUGUGGGGCUGAGGUAUGGGGCGGGAGGGGGCACAGCGCCACAGGGACAGUGUGUAGGGCUGUAUGGGGCAGGGGAGGGGCACAGCAGAACUACAGCAGUGUGUGGGGCUGGGAUAUAGGGCAGGAGAAAGGCAAAGCAAUACUACAACAGAGUUUGGGGCUGAGGUAUGGGGCAGGAGAGGGGCAGAGCAGUGCUACAACAGUGCGUGGGGCUGGGAUAUGGGGCAGGGGAGGGGCAGAGCAGUGCUACAACAGUGCGUGGGGCUGGGAUAUGGGGCAGGGGAGGGGCAGAGCAGUGCUACAACAGUGCGUGGGGCUGGGAUAUGGGGCAGGGGAGGGGCAGAGCAGUGCUACAACAGUGCGUGGGGCUGGGAUAUGGGGCAGGGGAGGGGCAGAGCAGUGCUACAACAGUGCGUGGGGCUGGGAUAUGGGGCAGGGGAGGGGCAGAGCAGUGCUACAACAGUGCGUGGGGCUGGGAUAUGGGGCAGGGGAGGGGCAGAGCAGUGCUACAACAGUGCGUGGGGCUGGGAUAUGGGGCAGGGGAGGGGCAGAGCAGUGCUACAACAGUGCGUGGGGCUGGGAUAUGGGGCAGGGGAGGGGCAGAGCAGUGCUACAACAGUGCGUGGGGCUGGGAUAUGGGGCAGGGGAGGGGCAGAGCAGUGCUACAACAGUGCGUGGGGCUGGGAUAUGGGGCAGGGGAGGGGCAGAGCAGUGCUACAACAGUGCGUGGGGCUGGGAUAUGGGGCAGGGGAGGGGCAGAGCAGUGCUACAACAGUGCGUGGGGCUGGGAUAUGGGGCAGGGGAGGGGCAGAGCAGUGCUACAACAGUGCGUGGGGCUGGGAUAUGGGGCAGGGGAGGGGCAGAGCAGUGCUACAACAGUGCGUGGGGCUGGGAUAUGGGGCAGGGGAGGGGCAGAGCAGUGCUACAACAGUGCGUGGGGCUGGGAUAUGGGGCAGGGGAGGGGCAGAGCAGUGCUACAACAGUGCGUGGGGCUGGGAUAUGGGGCAGGGGAGGGGCAGAGCAGUGCUACAACAGUGCGUGGGGCUGGGAUAUGGGGCAGGGGAGGGGCAGAGCAGUGCUACAACAGUGCGUGGGGCUGGGAUAUGGGGCAGGGGAGGGGCAGAGCAGUGCUACAACAGUGCGUGGGGCUGGGAUAUGGGGCAGGGGAGGGGCAGAGCAGUGCUACAACAGUGCGUGGGGCUGGGAUAUGGGGCAGGGGAGGGGCAGAGCAGUGCUACAACAGUGCGUGGGGCUGGGAUAUGGGGCAGGGGAGGGGCAGAGCAGUGCUACAACAGUGCGUGGGGCUGGGAUAUGGGGCAGGGGAGGGGCAGAGCAGUGCUACAACAGUGCGUGGGGCUGGGAUAUGGGGCAGGGGAGGGGCAGAGCAGUGCUACAACAGUGCGUGGGGCUGGGAUAUGGGGCAGGGGAGGGGCAGAGCAGUGCUACAACAGUGCGUGGGGCUGGGAUAUGGGGCAGGGGAGGGGCAGAGCAGUGCUACAACAGUGCGUGGGGCUGGGAUAUGGGGCAGGGGAGGGGCAGAGCAGUGCUACAACAGUGCGUGGGGCUGGGAUAUGGGGCAGGGGAGGGGCAGAGCAGUGCUACAACAGUGCGUGGGGCUGGGAUAUGGGGCAGGGGAGGGGCAGAGCAGUGCUACAACAGUGCGUGGGGCUGGGAUAUGGGGCAGGGGAGGGGCAGAGCAGUGCUACAACAGUGCGUGGGGCUGGGAUAUGGGGCAGGGGAGGGGCAGAGCAGUGCUACAACAGUGCGUGGGGCUGGGAUAUGGGGCAGGGGAGGGGCACAGCAAUACUACAGCAGUGCGUGGGGCUGGGAUGUGGGGCCGGGGAGGGGCGCAGUGAUACUACAACAACAUGUGAGGUGGGAUAUGGGGCGCAGUGGCGCUGUGAUGGUGUGUGGGGCUGAGAGGUGGGCUGUGAGAGGGGCACAGGGGGGCAGUUGGCUCCGUGUGGGGCUGCAGAGGGGACACAGCCCCCGUCCUCCCUCUGUGCUGCGUGACACCGGUGCUGCUGCUCUCUGCCCCCCUUUCCCCUCCCCGUUUUUUUGGGGUCCCACAUUUGCCACAACCGCGGCGCAGCGGUGGAGGGUUGGAUCCUUUUUGUCACCGGCGUUCACGAGGAGGCGACGGAGGAGGACAUCCACGACAAAUUCGCUGAAUACGGCGAGAUCAAAAACAUCCACCUGA
This 2208-nucleotide long non-coding RNA is filed under the name Chrysolophus pictus (golden pheasant). RNAcentral's name for it is "lncRNA (ENSCPIG00010006914.1)". Lineage: Eukaryota; Metazoa; Chordata; Aves; Galliformes; Phasianidae. The record is from RNAcentral.